Molecule: transfer RNA, 75 nt
Filed under: Ktedonobacter sp. 13_1_20CM_3_54_15
Lineage: Bacteria; Bacillati; Chloroflexota; Ktedonobacteria; Ktedonobacterales; Ktedonobacteraceae
Also listed under: 5 other names
Description: tRNA-Gly
Rfam family: tRNA
About the family: Transfer RNA (tRNA) molecules are approximately 80 nucleotides in length. Their secondary structure includes four short double-helical elements and three loops (D, anti-codon, and T loops).
Source: RNAcentral
GCGGGAGUGGCUCAGUGGUAGAGCAUCUCCUUGCCAAGGAGAAAGUCGCGGGUUCGAUCCCCGUCUCCCGCUCCC